This 13596-nucleotide long non-coding RNA is filed under the name Populus tremula. Its description in RNAcentral is "long non-coding RNA (PTRE_LNC001742)". Lineage: Eukaryota; Viridiplantae; Streptophyta; Magnoliopsida; Malpighiales; Salicaceae. The record is from RNAcentral.
UUUCAGGUCAUGUUUCCAAAGGACAUUCAACAACUGACUAUUGAUAAUAAUGAUGAUGCAACAAGUUUAUGUGAUUUUUUAUCUCUAAUAAAGAAUGCAACUGAACUGGAGGCUAUCGAGAUUUUUAGUUGCAAUAGCAUGGAGAGCUUGGUUUCAUCUUCUUGGUUCCACUCUGCUCCACUACCGUCUCCAUCUUACAACGGUAUAUUUUCUGGUCUUAAGAAGUUCUUUUGCUCUGGAUGUAGUAGUAUGAAGAAGUUGUUCCCUCUUGUCUUGCUGCCAAACCUUGUAAAAUUAGAAGAGAUUACAGUUACAAAAUGUGAGAAGAUGGAGGAGAUAAUAGGUGGAACAAGAUCAGAUGAAGAAGGGGUUAUGGGUGAAGAAAGCAACAUCAACAAUGAGCUCAAACUCCCAAAGUUAAGAUUUCUGACAUUAAAGGGAUUACCAGAACUGAAAAGCAUUUGCAGUGCAAAACUGAUUUGCGAUUCUAUCGAAGUAAUUGAAGUAGAAAAUUGUGAGAGGAUGGAGGAGAUAAUAAGUGGAACAAGAUCAGAUGAAAAAGGGGUUAUGGGUGAAGAAAGCAGCAACAACAACAAGCUCAAACUCUCAAAGUUAAGAUGUCUGACAUUAAAUAGAUUACCAGAACUGAAAAGCAUUUACAGUGCAAAAUUGAUUUGCGAUUCUCUCAAAAAUAUUGCGGUUUUUAAUUGUGAGAAGCUGAAAAGGAUGCCAAUUUGUCUUUCGUUGCUUGAAAAUGACCAGCCAUCUCCCCCCCCCCCCUUCUCUUAAAACAAUAAUUGUAGAUCCAGAAGAAUGGUGGGAGUCAGUAGUGGAAUGGGAGCAUCCUAAUGCUAAGGAUGUCCUUCGUUGCUUUGUAAUGUUUGUGGAUGGAGGAUGAGUGACGACAUUGCCCUUAAUAUAAUAUUAAAUUAAGAGUAAGCAUGGUUGUUUUAAUUGGAUUAAGCUUAAGCUAUGUGUCUACUUAACGACUGAUGUGUUUAUUAUAUUACCAGGUUUGACCUGGAAGACAUUUAUUUAGAGAGUACAACAUCAAAUGCAAGAUGUUUUUUUCUUCUCUAUCAAAAUCUGACCACUCUUUUUCCUCUCUAGAAUUAGAAAUCUAAAACUAAAAAAAAUAAAGUUUUAGACUAAAAUUGUAUUUUCAAAAAUUUAAGGGAUUUAAUAUUUAUAAUUUGAAAAGCAUGAGGACCAAAAUAAACUUUUCACGCUAAUUUUAAAAUUACCACCCAUUUUAUCCAUAUCUUUUAAUUUGAUUCUUUUUUCUUUCAAUCGUAUAUGUGCUCAACAAAUUUAAAGUAAUUGUGUUUAAAUUUAGUGAGUACAUUUCCUAUAAUAAUGCAAGCGCAUGAAUAGUGUUUUGGUUCUGCAUUGUAUAUGCCACGACGCACUGAAUUUCCUAUAAUAAUUAGAGUCAUAGCAAUUUGCAAGCAACUUUAUGGUUUUUUGAUCUAAAGGAAUAGACUGAACCAUAUUCACCUAAUCCUCAGAAAAAAAUGUGUCGAAUUGUCAAGAACACCAGAAUGUUCUGCCUUCGGUGUCGUCUGCACUUGAUGAAUUGAAAUACCAAAUGCAUAAAGAAUGGGAAAUUUUAUGAUUUUACAAUCUAUUUUUACAAUUUAAAUUUAUAUUAUAUUUUUCAUGUCAUAUGAAAAAUAUAUUCUUAACAAUUUUGAUUACAUUCAAAGCAGCACGUCAUCAUCUUUUCAAUGGUGUUACGCAUGCUUGUGACAAAUGUGUGGUUUGACCUCUACCACAUCUUUUAUCUUCUCCUUAUUUUGUCUCUCUUUUCAUUACAAAAAUGAAAAUUUGUACUUUUAUUUGGUUUUUAUAUUUAAUUUACUUUUUAUAUUUUUAAUUGCUAUAUAUUUUAUUUUAUUUUAAAAGUUUUUUCUUCAAUUUCAUACCUAUCAAUCUUUUAAUUGCUAUUUUUUAAUUAUUUUUCUAAUUGAAUUUUGUUUUCAAUUUAAUCUUUUAGCACUUGAUUUCAAAAUAUUUUUAUAUCAAAUUUAGUCAUUAUUAUUAUUAUUUUGUUUUGAAGCCUUUUAUAUUGCAUUUUUUUUUCCAAAUUCAUCCCUCACGAUUUUGUUGAUUUAUAAUUUUGCUUUUUUAUUUUUUAGAGUUUGUCUUCUAUGUGGUUGGUCUGUAGCUCACGAGCUUUUUUUAUUGCAUUUUUAAAAAAAUCUAUCUCACUAAUUUGUUGAAUAUGAUCUAUAUUUUAGGCUUUUUUUUUGUUAAAUUGAUUUUUUUUUCAUCUUUAUACAUUUGAUUUAUUGGAGAUUAGUUUUCGUAUUUUUAUUUUUAUUUUUUUUAUGUUUAAUUAUCUCAAUCUUGAAAAAGAUUUAACUUAGAAUGUGAAAAAUCUUAAAUAUUACAGUGCACUAAUAUUGCACUAUCAAACAAGUGACACUAUUCACCACUUGAAGAGCAUCAAAUAUCAAUGAAUUUUAAUUUGAUGUAUAAAUAUCUAAAAUAAAUUUUAAAUUAUCCAAUUUAUAUUUUUUUUUUUAGAUUAAUUUUUUUAAUGUUUUUAUAUUAUUUUGAUGUAUAAAUAUCUAAAAUAAAUUUUAAAUAUAAAAAAAUAGUUUAAAAUAAAAAAUAUUUUAAAAACAACAUCAACACAUACCAUGAAGAAUUUACACCAGUGGUUCGUGGAAGAUGCAGCCAACUUUCUCUGCUUAAUGUUCAAUGUAUCUCAUCAGUCCAAAACACACUUCAUUUCACAGUAUCCUUUUCAUGGAUACAAUGAGUUGCUAGGGAAGAUUACGUUGUUCACUGGUAAUUUUUUUGCCAUUUCACUAAUAUAAAUUUUGUUACUGUUCAAAAAAGAAUACAAAAAAAAUAAAAAUUAAUGGUAGCUUGACAUACUUAUGGAAUAGACUGAACCAUAUUCACCUAAUCCUCAGAAAAAAAAUGUGUCGAAUUGUCAAGAACACCAGAAUGUUCUGCCUUUGGUGUCGUCUGCACUUGAUGUGGGAACAAAAAUGCCAGUCAUGGCUCUCAGAAAACAAAAAAGAAAACACCCAAAAACAUGCCAGCCCCCACGGUUUUGAUUGAGCUACAACAUGGGCAAGCAUUCACAAGUCCAGCCAUUGGUUUCCUAACUGGUCAAAAUUCAUGUUUCACUUGCUCCAGACUCUUUUCCUAGUUGAGUUGGAAAUAGAUGGCAAUGAGAAGCAAGGUGAAUGAAUUAGGGGGGUUGUCCUAGACCAUGAACAGAUAUUUGAGAUCUUCCACGGUGAGACGAGUAGCUGAACCCCCACUUUGAUCUUUGCCAAAUGCAGAUGCAACCAUUUUUCUCUUCUCUUCCUGCAAAUUGUGCUCAUCAGCAAAGAAAAUUAUGUUUGAAAAUCACGGUCAAGAUCUUGAAUAUAAGAACGCAGAGCACAUACAUGCAAAAGUAUUAGAUAAUAAAUAGAUCACACUUGAAGAUUACAAGUAAUGUUCUCAUUGUCAUUUAACUGUCGUGCCCAUCUACCACCCUGGAAAUGCAAUGUGUUGUCUUCUUGAUAAGUUUAAUGAGAUUAACAUGACUGUCAAGCAUUAACUUGUACGAGUAGCCAUUUCCAGAGGAAAUUUUGAAUGGUAAUGCUCUUUCCAAAUUUACCAUUAAAAGUCACUUCUGUUGGACCAUAAUCAGCCAAUAACCUUUUUCUUUCAAUAUGCACCUUCCACCUUCAUGUGAUGUACUCAUAUUUCAUUGCAAUUAUCAUUAAUCCUGAACGUUUAUCUCUAAUCACCUCCAUAUAUAUGAGAUAAUUCUCUUGAUUUAUAAUGCGAAAGGCAUAACAUACCUCAACAUAUAUAAAUUAACAGAAUCCCCAGUUGUUUUGUUCAGGGUUUCACUAUUUCUCUUUUUAACCCUAGGAACAUCUUGAUCCAGACCCUCCAGGAAUCGAAGGGCAAGAAUAAGAUUAAACAGUUAUCCAAAUAUGCAAGACAGAAUCAACGCCAGUAGAAAGAAAUAAUACCUGAAGAGAUAAUAUUCAAUCUUUUAUAGUAAGUCAUGUUACUGUAACAAGACAAGUUUCUAUGAGCUCGAUCGAACAGCCUGAUAUUGUAUUUUUAUGUUAUUUAGAAUUAAUGGAUGUUGAUGUAUUUUGUAUCCAAGAACUUCAGAGCUCGAAUUGUAAUGACAUCCUGUAACGUAAGUACUUGUACGUGAAUUUUAGUAUAACAUGUAUGUGGCCUUAUGUGUGCUGUUUCUGCUACUUAGAUAUUAACUAAUAUUCCAUGUUAAGACAUAGUUAUUGAAUAUUACGUUUGUAUUUUUAGAAUCUACUUAGAUCCAGGGGCUCUGUCAAGGUUGCUUUCUUUCUACAAACCAAAUCACUUAUUCACGAUCCCCAGAUCAUAACAAAUAAUCAGUUGAUUAAUCGGAUAAUAAAACUAAAUUAGUGCCUCUUAGCCUGCUUCUUCUUAGCUUCGGUUGGCUAUUCAACAACUUGAGCAUCUAAAUCAUAACAAGCAAUUAAAACCCAAUAGCAAAUGACAAAAAUAAUUGCCUUAUUAUGCAAAGAUUAUGGAACUGAGCUAACCCGAAGUCAUCUUGACUUUACCAUCAAGGCUACAGCCGUGGAAACUUAUAAGAGCCACCGGCACAUCCUCCUCGCACUCUCCACUGCAUGUAUCGAUUCAAAAAACAAAAAACAUGAAUUACUUCAGUAAUUUCUGUAAAGCCCAGAAAACGAAUUUGUUGAAAAAACAACUGGUACCUCAAUUUCUUAAAAAAUUCAAAGAGCUCAUAUGUUUAGAUCCCAAAAUCAAGCCAAUAAGACAAAAUACAAAAAAUCCAAAAAUAUCUUAAAAUACAAAGAACCGUGAUUGAAAACCCAAAAUCAAACCACGAAGACAAAUUUAGAAACAUCCAGAGCAUAAUUUGUUCAAAAAGCCAACCGGGUUACUCAAAUUCUUAAAAGAAAUCAAAGAACCCAUAAUUUUAAACCCCAAAAUCAAUUCAAGAACACAAAAUUAGAAAAAACCAGGAAAAAACUCGAUAAGAAAAGAAAUAAAUCAAAGCCAGGUUUCUUGAAAAUCUCCAAAUUCAAAUUAAUAACACAAAAUAAGAAAAACCCAAAACAUUAGAAGAAAAAAAAGAAGAAGGAACGCGAGUAAAUACCAUUUAACAAAACCAUUGCCAUCUUUAGCACGAACAAGUGAAGCAGCAGCAGUAUUAGCAUACCCAUCAGUAGGCUCAGCGUCUCCUCUUUUCCUCGUCAUUUCUUCUUCUUCUUCCUGGUGAGAGAUUUUAACAACGGGUAGAAAGGGGUCUAUAAUAGGAAAAGUGAAGAUAAAAGGAGACGGAAAUCUCAGUUAUGACGGUUAUAAAAUGGCGCCAAGUGGUCGGUUUUGGUAUGAGAGGGAAAUGAUUUGGACAUGGACAGAUGAGUUGGAAUACUUACCCACCAUUGGAUUUUUCUCUUGUUCUUAUAUCAACGACUCAGAUUGAAUCUCUCAUUUUCGGCUCGCCCUUGAAGAAACUCUUGCAAAGUACAUGGUCCAAAAGUUAGAGGUAUUUAAGAUGAUUAAUUACUUAUAAACCAUAGUUUCAUCUUUAUGUUAUUAAAUCUUCUUUUUUAUCCUAUGGUCAAAUGUAUUUUUGGAUUAACUUCAUCACUGAUUUAUAUUAAAUCUAGUUUUUUUAGUGAUUAAGAAUGUAUUUUUAAUAUUAGUCGAUCUAUAUUAAGGGCAGUGAGGUGUUGAAGUGACCCACUAAACUGUUACUUUGGUACAAGGAAGAGAAUGCUAGAAUUUGAACGAGGGUAGUUAUAUAAUACACCACGUAAAAGUCAAUAACAUCUUUUGUACGAGAUCGUGAAAAGAAGACAGCAACCACGCUUAGUUAACUCCAUACUCUAAAUUUCGAACCAGUUAACUUUAAAUUUAAAUUUUAAAUUGAAAAGUUUUGAGAUAGACUCAAAAGAAUUUAUAUCAAAUAAUUCUUGUCUUCCGUUGCUUGAAAAUGGACAGCUAUCUCCUUCCCCUUCUCUUAUAUUAAUGUAUAUAAAACCAGAAAAAUGGUGGGAGUCAGUAGUGGAGUGGGAGCAUCCUAACGCUAAGGAUGUUCUUCAUCCCUUUGUAAAGUUUUUGGGACCCGACAUGGACGAGUUAUCCCCCAAAGUGAUGCCCUUCGCCUCUUUGCAAGGUGUUUUGUUGGAGAAUGAGUGACGACACCACUUACCAAAAUGAUAAAGAACAAGAGGCGUUGAAGUUCAAUAUCAACAUCAACUAGGAUUUAGAUUAAUAAAAUUUAAAGUGUGUAAGAGUUUUAAUAUUGGUUAAAGGAGGAAUUUUAAUUAAUGUAGGAAUUCUUGAUGAAAAAAGAUUUAUAAUAGAAUAGUUUAUUAGAAUCAUCAUUAAUUAAAUAGAAUAUUAGAUUAUAAUUUUCUUUGAGUAGUUUAAUUCCUAAUUAUUUAGGACUUGAGAUUUAUAAAUAAGUUUAUAAUCAGAAGCACAAAACACAAAUUAAGAGAAAUAUAAAGAAAAGCUGGAAAGAUGUAUUUUUUAAGAAAACUUUUAAUAAAAUAUUAUUCAUCUCACUCUUUUUCUUAUUCUUUAGCUUCGUUUUUUUUUUAUAUAUAUAUUUGUUUUUUAAAAUUAAAUACCGCAUCCUAUUCUUCUUUUCUAACAAGAGGUGCUUCAUGGACGAUGACAGUGAGGCGGAUGCUUUACUAAAGCCAAUGGACGUCUAUAUAUAUACACAACAGCACUUGUUUCCACACUUGCUUGCUAAUUAUUACUUGUGAUGAAUCUGUGUAUAUUGGGAAAGUUGGUUCUGAAAGAUUUUACCGUUGAAGACGAGGCUGGUGGUGCUGGCAUAGCCCUUGCAAAGACAUUCAUUGCAACAGUAAUCAAUUUUUUUAACAAUUUACUUAGGCUACCAAAUUAAUUAAUCAAUUCUCAUUAUAUUUUUCUUUGAAGAUUUGAAAUAUUGUAUAUGAAUUCGCUAACUCUUCAACACUUUCCUGUCAACUAGAAUUACUCUGUUCAAUAUUCUCUAAAAGAUACUGAAAACAGAACAGAGCUUUUUCAGUAAGAAAUUCGGCUUAGAGGAAGACUAGCUAUUAAAGUCAUUGCAAUUUGCAAGCAACUUUAUGUUUUUUAUACACUAAAGAAAUAAAACAGAGAUUCCAUAUUUAACAAAGACUCGGGAUAAAACUAUCUCCUUCCUUGUUAGAGAGGGCUCUGACGUUCUGGCACACUGUAACUUGCAGAUCCGUUUGGCUUUUGCACUUGCACCAAGGAGAUACACAUAGGAUGAAAUCUUUAAAUCUUAACCGGUCAUUCAACAUUUUUUUUUAUAUAUAGUGUAUCUCAAAAAACCAUCUCAAUAUAUAACUUAAGCUGUUAAGUAAUAUUUCAAGAUAUAAUUUAUAUUAUUCUCUAACACAUCUUUUCAUGUUAAAGUUCUUUAGGCUUGAAACUUGUACAUAUUCAUACUACAUUGUGUUUAAUUUUUAUUAAAUAAAUAGAGAUGGUGAUAUUUAAAUUCAUGACCGCUUGGUCAUCAAGGCUCUGAUACCACGUCAAGAACCAUCUUAACCCAAUAACUUAAGCUAUUAGGUAAGGUUCUAAAAUAUAAUUUAUAUUAUUCUCUAACCGUUUUAUACUUUGAGAUUAUUGGGAAAUUGUAGCUGUGAUUGUGUAGACUUGCGUUAUCGGAUUGUGUAAGCUUGUGUUAUCAUUUAAUCUAACCGAAUUGACAUGAGGCUUAAUUUGUUUCUUUCUUUCUUUCUUAAGGUUUUCUUAAAUUAUCUUGGAAUUGUAUGUCUCUUGGCUCCACGGGUCAGAGGUGAGGGUAUAGUUAGUGAUAUUCACUUUGAGCUGUGGACUCCCCAUUACUUCAACUGAUUGGUUUUUGUUUGACCACAAGAUAUUGAUUGUUGAGGGAAAUUCCAAGGACGCAUUGGGGUCAGGACUUUUACAUGCUGCAUGCUUCUAAGACAAAUUAAAAAUGUUUCAGUUCAUUUAAUUUAUUAGUUCUAUGUCAUUAAAUAUAUUGCUAUUUCGUGAUCAUUCCAAUUUUCUUGUUGCUGAUGUUGUCCAUUAACUCUCGUAUUUCUUGACUUAUCUAUCAGUAAAAUGAUUAAUGUUUCAAUUUUGAUGCCUGCAUAAUGUAUCAGUAUAAAACACAGCAUUAGUUUUGUUGCUGACAAGGGUCUGAAAAAACCUCUCUAUACCUCUGCACGUUUGAACAAGGGAGGAGUUCUAUAUUUAGAAACACAUUCAUGCAGGUACUCCCUCUUUUUUUCUUUCUUUUUUUUUCUUUUGCGCUUUCUAACUUGAUACCGCACCUAGGUUUUGGAGGCAUAUGGAAAAGAAUCUGCUGAUGUUCUGCUAUCCAUAUGAUUGAUUUUGGCUUACUGACAAUUACUGUGUGGAAACUCGCUAUAAAAUAUUUGAUAUGCAUGUGAAAUCUAUCCGUCAUGAAUGAAUUCUAUAGUAUGUUGAUUUUCUUGGAUUAGUUAAAGGCUAUAAACAGAGUAUUUAACAAUGCGCAGAAGUCUGAAAAACAGGGGAAAACGCAAUGUUCAGUCGCUAUCUGGUGCAUGGGUUGGUGGAGGUAGGGCUGCGUGUAUAAGGGAAUCCACAUAAAUCACACUCAUUAGUGAUUUCCUUCUCUGUCAAUUAUGGAUAAGAAAUGAUCCCUUUUUCUUUUCUUUUUUUCUGAGAAGAAAUAAUGAUCCAUCUUAAAGGCCUUCAGAUUUCAACACAUGAAGGGAUGCAUGCAUAUCUCAGGAAUUAACAAUGGUGGAGGGAUAACUUUUAAUUGACACUGAUUUCUUGACAAAACGCACCGUACUAAGCUGCUGUUAGCCGUUGCUUACGCGCACCGUUUCAAAAAAUGAAUGAGAACUGCUGUGGAUUCCCUCUCUUCUCUCCGUCUCUCUCUCUCCCGCUCUCUCCUUCUCUGUCUUCUCAAUCUUUCUGAUUCCACUGAGUUCAACACAGAUUGGAGGAUUCUUAAUCGGGUUGUUACCUAUAGAUCGUACGUGAUCUUAUACAAAUGUGAUGUAUAUAUGCAGGAAUAAUAUUGGUCUCUAAAUGGUUUUAUUUCUUAAAUAAAUCAAAGAAUUUAAGUUAAUCUCUUGGCAGCAGGAUUGAUGAAAAAAUAAAUCAUCUGUAUCAAUGCUCUCCUGACCACUUGGAACACCUUGCUUAAGACAUCAGGAGAUCAAGAUAUUUAAUAUGAAAUUCAACACAAGCUGAUGAUCCCAGUUCUUUGCCAAAAGCAAAUGGUGACAGGAAAGUCAUUAGCGAGCCGAAUUGCUCCUCGGCAUCAUCACUACUAUCAUGAUAAUUGCAUAUGUUCGAUCUAACAGUAGACUCAAUGGUUGAAACAGUAUAAUGUACGUAAACAUGUUGAAUAGUUAGUGUGAAUAAAUAAAGCAGGUGAUUCAUGAAAUUAAAAAUAAUUUGCAUGGUGGUUUCGAGGAUAUAAUUGCAUAUUGGACAAACAAAGUCCCUUUGCAUGGUGGUUUCAAGAGACAGUGGAAGUAACAAUUGAUCUUCAUUAAUUGUUCUGGCUUUUUAAUUAAAAAAAGUACAUAACACUGUUGUUUUAGCAUCUAACAACAGUAGACUCAAGGAUUUGAAGCAGUGUAAUGUGAACACGUUGAAUAGUUAGCGUGAAUAAAUAAAGCAGAAAGUGGCAUGAAGUUUGCAUGGUGGUUUCCAUGGGAGUAAUCAUUGCAUACAGGACAAAGAAAGCACCUAUGUUUUAUUUCUUUAGAGUAAAAAAACAUAAAGCUGCUUGCUAAUUGCUAAUUGCUAAUUGCAAUGACUUUAAUAGCUAGUCUUCCACUAAGAGAGAUCUCUCUCAGUAUACCAUUGAUUUCCUAAUUUCUUAUUUGAUAAAGUUGCUUCCACUAAGAGAGAGAUAUCUCAGUAUACCCUUGAUUUCCUAAUUUCCCUCACCAAAUUUCUUAUUGAUAUUUUAAUAGUUAGUGUGAAUAAAUAAAGCAGAAAGUGGCAUAAAGUUUGCAUAGAGAACAAAGAAAGCACAAGCAGAAAGUGACAUAAAGUUGAAGCUUCCUGCCAAUUUCUAUUGCAAUGACUUUAAUAGCUGGCCUUCCAGUAAGAGAGAUCUCUCUCGGUAUACCAUUGACUUCCAAAUUUCCCUCACCAAAUUUCCUAAACCUUUCUUAGGAUCUGUGCUUCCUUUUUCUGAUUGAAUCGAAUCAUCUCGUUUUGAGUUCUUGAUCUGUAUCUUUCUUGCUUGAAAGGUAAAUCCUACUUUCUUUUCUUGUUUUUCUACCACUAAUUUUGUUUCAAAUAAGAUUUUCCCAUUUGGUUGUAGAAUAAAUAUGUAGGAUUGUAGAUUAAUCAAUCAAGUAGAACUUAAUUAUAUAUGUGUUGCUUGAUCUAUUUUAGAAUUCAAAACUCAUAUUUAGCUUUGUUCUUACAUAUUGCCAUCAACUUCAACUACUUAUCUUAAAAACAGCUGCUCUCAAGGUUUCUUUUGUCUGUUGAGUGCCUCUUGUCAGCUUGACAGGUGACUAGUUAGUUUACCUACUCUUUCUCAAAUUCUUGCGCUUACAUUUUCAGAUCAGCUUUUCCGGCAUUUCAACAUUGAGGUGCGUCCACACGUUAACUCACUCAGCAAUUAGCUUCAGAUUCUUUUGAAUCCUGGUACAGUAUUUAUACUUCAUCUUCUUCAUUUUGUUGCUGUUAUCGUUUUUGACAUGUAACUAUUGUUUGAAUCCUUUUUCUGUAGAGUUGAACUGUGUAAGUUUGGUGUUUUAAUAGUUUGACAUGUAACUAUUGUAGAAAUUUUAUUGAGAAACUUUGGAGUUAGGAUCAUCAAUGUUUUCCAAAUAUAAAUAAAUUGAUCUUUCUUUGUUUUUAUAAUCCUUGCCUUAAGGAGUUCAUACCAAAUUCAUUGUUUUUUCUUUUUAUUUAUUCUAGUCUCAACCUUUCAUUUUCCAAAUAAUUUUAUUCAAUAUUUUGACUCUGUUUUAUAUAUAGGGCAAAAUGGUUCAAUCAACUGACCCAUUUUGGCACCAUGUUGAGGAGAUGAAGUGUAUUUAUUGCGGGCGUCAAUUUCCUAACGAUACUUCCAUUUCAAGGAUCAAAUGGCAUUUAUCAGGAGAGAAAGGGCGUGGUGUUGCAAUUUGUGAAAGAGUUCCUAAACAAGUUCAAGAAGCAGCUUUUCAAGCUAUGCAUGGUGCCAACAAAAGACAUAAAAGCAUAGCAAGUUCAAGCAAUGUUAAUGAUAAUGCCAUUUCAACCACUCCACAAGAACAAAACAAUAAUGAAGUCGACAAUUUGGCAGGAGAUGCAGGAACGACACAAGCAGCGGAUAGAAUGGGUCACCCACCUGGAAGAAGUGUGGAAGAGUUCAGUAGAUGGUUAAUGGAGGAUGAUAUAGAGAAUGGGACUGGAGGAGUAGUGCAGCCUGGUGCAGGAGCUAGCUCUUCUGGAGGGCUUACAUGCAACACAAAUGAGACUCCAGGAGACGCAGUACCAACGACAAAGCUGGUGGGUCAAGCAUUCGAAGACCAUGAGAAGACUAUCUGGUCUUGGUUGAUGCACGAUGAAGUUUCAACUAUUGGCAUCUAUGGGAUGGGCGGGGUGGGUAAGACGACAUUGGUGAAACAUAUAUAUGAUCAACUUCAAAAAAGACGAGACAGUUUUUGUCAUGUUUACUGGAUUACUGUUUCACAAGAUACCAGCAUUAGUAAAUUGCAAAACAGUAUCGCCAGACGGAUUGGUUUAGAUCUUUCUAAUGAAGGUGAGGAGCUGUAUAGAGCUUUCGAUUUGUCAGAAGAAUUAAUGAAGAAACAGAAAUGGGUUUUGAUUUUAGAUGAUCUGUGGAAGGAUAUUGAGCUACACAAGGUCGGAGUUCCUAUCCAAGCUGUUAAGGGAUGCAAACUGAUUCUUACAACACGAUCAGAAAAGGUUUGUCAACAGAUGGAUACCCAACACAAAAUCAAAGUAAGUCCUAUAUUGGAGGAAGAAGCUUGGACUUUGUUUAUUGAGAGACUUGGACAUCAAAUGGCACUUUCUCCAGAAGUGGAACAAAUUGCAAAAUCUAUCACAAAGGAGUGUGCUGGUUUGCCUCUGGGAAUUAUAACAAUGGCUGGAACCAUGAAGGGGGUGGAGGACAUACACGAGUGGAGGAAUGCUUUAGAGGAACUAAAACAAUCAAGACUUUGGCAGGAGGACAUGGAUGAGAAGGUAUUCAAAAUAUUAAGAUUUAGUUAUAUGCACUUAAAGGAGUCAGCACUGCAACAAUGUUUCUUGUACUGUGCAUUAUUCCCGGAAGACUUCGAGAUCCAUAGAGAGCAUGUGAUAGCUUAUUUGAUUGAUGAGGGAGUGAUAAAAGGCAUGAGUAGGAAGGCAGAAUUUGACAAAGGCCACUCGAUGCUUAAUAAACUUGAAAGUGCCUGCCUUUUGGAAAAAGUUGAAUUCGGCAGUCAUUUUAGAUGUGUCAAGAUGCAUGACUUGAUUAGGGAUAUGGCCAUCCAAAUACUGGAAGAUAACUGUCAAUGCAUGGUUAAAGCAGGUGCACGGUUAAGAGAAGUGCCGGGUGCAGAGGAGUGGACAGAGAAUCUUACUAGAGUUUCACUGAUGCAUAACCAGAUUGAAGAAAUUCCUUCCAGCCAUUCACCAUGCUGUCCCAGUCUUUCAACUCUAUUGUUAUGUGGAAAUUCAGAGUUGCAAUUUAUUGCAGAUUCAUUUUUUGAGCAGUUGCAUGAGCUCAAGGUUCUUGAUCUGUCUCGUACAAAGAUCACAAAACUACCUGAUUCUGUCUCUGAAUUGGUGAGUCUCACUGCAUUAUUGCUCAUUGGUUGUGAUAUGUUAAGGCAUGUACCGUCAUUAGAAAAGCUCAAGGCACUGAAGAGGUUAGAUCUCUCUGGUACUUGGGCACUUGAAAAAAUGCCUCAAGGUAUGGAAUGUCUAUGCAACCUGAGGUAUCUUAGAAUGAAUGGAUGUGGUGAAAAGGAGUUUCCUAGUGGGUUGUUACCUAAGCUCUCUCUCCUGCAAGUGCUUAUAUUGGAGGAGCAGAUUCAUCCUACAAGAAAAGGACUGCCUGCUCCGAUAACAGUUAAAGGAAAGGAAGUGGGAUGCUUGAGGAAGUUGGAAACUUUGGUAUGCCAUUUUGAAGGUUACUUAGACUACGUGGAGUAUCUCAAAACUCGGGAUGAAACCAAAUCACUAACCACAUACCAAAUUCAUGUAGGACUACUGGAUAAGUAUUAUAAUCAUUAUUAUGGUGAUUUCAGUAGGAAAACAAUUGUUUUGGUUAACUGGAGUAUCGACAGAGACAGAGAUUUUCAGGUCAUGUUCUCGAAGGACAUUCAACAACUAGGCAUUCAUAAUUGUGAUGAUGCAACAAGUUUAUGCGAUUUUUGGUCUCUAAUAAAGAAUGCAACUGAACUGGAGGCUAUCAAGAUUAGUGAUUGCAAUAGCAUGGAGAGCUUGGUUUCAUCUUCUUGGUUCUGCUCUGCUCCACCACCAUCUCCAUCUUAUAGUGGAAUAUUUUUUGGUCUUAAAGAGUUUAGGUGUUAUGAUUGUAAGAACAUGAAGAAGUUGUUCCCUCUUGUCUUGCUGCCAAGCCUCGUGAACCUGGAA